AUUGCUUCUCGGCCUUUUGGCUAAGAUCAAGUGUAG
RNAcentral lists this small nuclear RNA (36 nucleotides) under Cervus elaphus hippelaphus. The record is from RNAcentral. Lineage: Eukaryota; Metazoa; Chordata; Mammalia; Artiodactyla; Cervidae.